Ornithorhynchus anatinus (platypus) is the source of this 138-nucleotide non-coding RNA. The record is from Rfam. Lineage: Eukaryota; Metazoa; Chordata; Mammalia; Monotremata; Ornithorhynchidae.
CCCCUCUCAGGAUCACACCUGUAGAGUUUAUAGUACUCUAUCAGUCUUGGCUAUAGGAGAAAGAGUCAAGCAGAGGCAUAACCAUUCCAUUUCUAACUUGGACAGUGGUUAGCGAGUAGAAGGCAAUCUGCUACAAGU